Saccoglossus kowalevskii is the source of this 723-nucleotide long non-coding RNA. RefSeq lists it as uncharacterized. NCBI's taxonomy places the organism in Eukaryota, Metazoa, Hemichordata, Enteropneusta, Harrimaniidae. The record is from RefSeq and is a predicted model, not a curated record.
CGUAUGUACAGAGGAAGCCACUGGUAGCCCAGAUAUGUCGAUGGGUCUAGAUAUUAAGAAACGUGACGCAAAGAAAUUGGAAGAAGGCUGUUGUGGCCCCCUACUGUAGUUGUACCCUAAGACAGCAACGUGUUCGCCUUGACUUCGACGAGCAACCAAGACAAGUGAUACUGAAUAAUCGUAUUUUUAACGUGACCUCACUAUAUUUCUCAAUGAAUAUUCACUUAUUCUCUUGAUAAAAGUUUAAAUAUUACAAAUCACAAUGAACUUUCAGGACAGGAUUGGUGUUUAUUGAAAAGGCUUUGAAAUUUGCGUCGAAAACAGUUUUAGAACUUAUUUCCUUGAUUGUAUGAACAGGUGUUGAAAAUGAAAACAAAAUAAAAAUCACAUAAAGUGAAGUGAACAGAAAAAAAAAACAUGUUUCCAAAGCCUAUGUAGUUCUCCCAGAGUUUCAAAUUUCCGCUACUAAUGGUAUUUUUUUCCCCACGGUGGACAGAAGAUAUUCCAAGUUGUCCGUCUGAAAUACUCAUCUUCAUUCAAGUAUGUUGUAACAACAACUACAUGACUCUUUGAAGGAUGCGUCAUCAUGGCGGUGAUAACAAUUUCUACCACCAUGAUUUCAUUAAAUUUUCAAUCAAAGAUGGCGGCGGCCAGUGUUACACUCAGAUAUUUUAAUAUCAUCUGUAAUUCUUAUAUCACAAUGAAUACACAUGGCGUGAUCAA